Molecule: non-coding RNA, 95 nt
Submitted as: unclassified sequences
Source: Rfam
ACAGUACAAACUGAUCAGGCGGUAAACCUUCUUCCGGGUUUUUGCAGCCGGGCCCUCUGGGCAGCAGACCUUGACUCAACGUCUGCGGGACAGUU